UACAGAGGGGGCAAGCGUUAUUCGGAAUUAUUGGGCGUAAAGGGCGCGUAGGCGGCUUGGCAAGUGGAUGGUGAAAUCCCUCGGCUUAACCGAGGAACUGCCGUCCAAACUGCUUCGCUUGAGACCGGGAGAGGUGAGUGGAAUUCCCAGUGUAGCGGUGAAAUGCGUAGAUAUUGGGAGGAACACCAGUGGCGAAGGCGGCUCACUGGACCGGUACUGACGCUGAGGCGCGAAAAGCGUGGGGAGCAAACGGG
This 254-nucleotide ribosomal RNA is filed under the name uncultured bacterium. RNAcentral's name for it is "partial 16S ribosomal RNA". It matches the Rfam family "Bacterial small subunit ribosomal RNA", at positions 524 to 776 of the family's 1533-position model. The record is from RNAcentral.